This 253-nucleotide ribosomal RNA is filed under the name uncultured bacterium. RNAcentral describes it as "partial 16S ribosomal RNA". It matches the Rfam family "Bacterial small subunit ribosomal RNA", at positions 524 to 776 of the family's 1533-position model. The record is from RNAcentral.
UACGUAGGCAGCAAGCGUUGUUCGGAGUUACUGGGCGUAAAGGGUGUGUAGGCGGUUUUCUAAGUCUGGUGUGAAAUCUCCCGGCUCAACUGGGAGGGUGCGCCGAAAACUGGAAGGCUAGAGUGCGGGAUGGGAGAGUGGAAUUCCUGGUGUAGCGGUGAAAUGCGUAGAUAUCAGGAGGAACACCUGUGGUGUAGACGGCUCUCUGGACCGCAACUGACGCUGAGGCGCGAAAGUCAGGGGAGCAAACGGG